This 1815-nucleotide ribosomal RNA is filed under the name uncultured Corallinales. Its description in RNAcentral is "SSU rRNA". It matches the Rfam family "Eukaryotic small subunit ribosomal RNA". Lineage: Eukaryota; Rhodophyta; Florideophyceae; Corallinales. The record is from RNAcentral.
UCACCUGGUUGAUCCUGCCAGUGGUAUAUGCUUGUCUCAAAGACUAAGCCAUGCAAGUCUAAGUAUAAGUUAUUCUGAAGACGAAACUGCGAAUGGCUCGGUAAAACAGCAAUAAUUUCUUCGAUGAUGAGUUUACUCACGGAUAACCGUAGUAAUUCUAGAGCUAAUACGUGCUGAAAUAAAGUGGAUGAUGCGGGUUUUAUACUCUCUCCACUGUGCCGUUUAGAUAACAACACCAACAUUUUGGUGAUUCAUAAUCGUCUUUCUGAUCGCAAUUAAGCGACGCAUCGUUCAAAUUUCUGACCUAUCAACUUUCGAUGGUAAGGUAGUGUCUUACCAUGGUGGCAACGGGUAACGGACCGUGGGUGCGGGACUCCGGAGAGGGAGCCUGAGAAACGGCUACCACAUCCAAGGAAGGCAGCAGGCGCGCAACUUGCCCAAUCCAGACUCUGGGAGGCAGUGACAAGAAAUAUCAAUAGGGGUUCCUAUGGGACUCCUAAUUGGAAUGAGAACAAGCUAAACAGCUUAGCGAGAAUCCAGCAGAGGGCAAGUCUGGUGCCAGCAGCCGCGGUAAUUCCAGCUCUGUAAGCGUAUACCAAAGUUGUUGCAGUUAAAACGCUCGUAGUCGGACCUGAGCCAUACCCGAAUAUCAGGUGCACGUCAAGUGCCAGGCCAUAUUGUAGGUAUGUGCUUUAGUGGUGUCUCGCGUACGAUGAGGCAUGUUUAUUCGUGAACGUCGUGACGCAGCACCCUUUUUACUGUGAGAAAAUCAGAGUGCUCAAAGCAGGCAUUUGCCUUGAAUGUAUUAGCAUGGAAUAAUAGAAUAGGACUUGGUUCUAUUUUGUUGGUUUGUUGGGGCUGAGUAAUGAUUAAGAGGGACAGUUGGGGGCAUUUGUAUUUCGGCGCUAGAGGUGAAAUUCUUAGAUUGCCGAAAGACAUACUGCUGCGAAAGCGUCUGCCAAGGAUGUUUUCAUUGAUCAAGAACGAAAGUAAGGGGAUCGAAGACGAUCAGAUACCGUCGUAGUCUUUACUAUAAACGAUGAGGACUGGGGAUCGGGCGAGGGAAUAAAAUAAUGACCCGCCCGGCACCCUUCGAGAAAUCAAAGUGUUUGCUUUCUGGGGGGAGUAUGGUCGCAAGGCUGAAACUUAAAGGAAUUGACGGAAGGGCAUCACCGGGUGUGGAGCCUGCGGCUUAAUUUGACUCAACACGGGAAAACUUACCAGGUCAGGACAUAGUAAGGAUUGACAGAUUGAGAGCUCUUUCUUGAUUCUAUGGUUGGUGGUGCAUGGCCGUUCUUAGUUGGUGGAGUGAUUUGUCUGGUUAAUUCCGUUAACGAGCGAGACCUGGGCGUGCUAACUAGGGGCUACCAACUCUUUUGGUGGUAUGCUGUACCUUCUUAGACGGACUGUGGGCGUCUAGCCCACGGAAGCUCCAGGCAAUAACAGGUCUGAGAUGCCCUUAGAUGUUCUGGGCCGCACGCGUGCUACACUGCGUGGGUCAGCGGGUCAGGUUGCGCGAAAGCGUUUCCUAAUCUCGAAAUCCGCGCGUGACGGGGAUUAUCGGUUGCAAUUUUCUGAUAUGAACGAGGAAUACCUUGUAAGCGCGGGUCAUCAUCCCGCGCUGAAUACGUCCCUGCCCUUUGUACACACCGCCCGUCGCUCCUACCGAUUGAGUGGUCCGGUGAGGCUUUGGGAUCUGAGCGGAAAGAGCGCUUCGCUCGUUCUGCCUGGAGAACUCAGUCGAACCUUAUCAUUUAGAGGAAGGAGAAGUCGUAACAAGGUUUCCGUAGGUGAACCUGCAGAAGGAUCAAGCUA